This 884-nucleotide long non-coding RNA is filed under the name Mus spicilegus (steppe mouse). RNAcentral's name for it is "lncRNA (ENSMSIG00000023222.1)". The record is from RNAcentral. Lineage: Eukaryota; Metazoa; Chordata; Mammalia; Rodentia; Muridae.
UAGGUCUCUAUACCAAUCCAUAGAUCCUGUUGAUCCAGUUGUCCUAAAGACCUUUAAGAGAGUUGAGGUGAGUGGGAGCCUCAGCUACUCACGGGAAGCUUGCGUGUGGCCUUUCACAGACUUUUCUUUCCUCCUGCCAUGGCUUCUUCCAUCCACAGGUUCCUCCCACAGGGACACACCCUUCCCGGGUGGCAUUCUCCAGACACAAGGCAGAACCUGCUUUUCUCAUUUGUGACCUAACUAGAAAGUAACUACUGACAUCUCCAUCAUAUUCCAUAGGCCAAAGUAGUUAAGUGAAAGAAUGCUGGGACCAUGUUUUCUAAGUGCUACAGACCAACCAGUUCGUAUACGAUGUAACGGGUCCAGCAGAAAGCUUCUGGGAAGUCUGAAGUCUUCAUUUCUUCCCAGGAGUACUUACAGACCAACACUGAGAGAAAAAGAAAAGGAUUCAUUAGACAUUGUUUUCCAGCCUUUCCAACGAGGAAGUAAAGAGACUAGCUGGACAAAAUGAUCAAAAAAACAGCUGCCUACCCACAAAACUAAGUUGCCUUUAACCUAUGAAGAAUCUGGAUGUCUGGACUGAAAGCAGUUCCAGGAAGCAGCAGAGGUUGCAGCUACCCCGAAUGUGCCCAUUUGCACUUCUCUGGAAAUGAUCAAUAGACAGCGUGGGUUCAUCCUCACCUUCUUCCCGCCCCACGCCCACUUGUGAGGUAAAGUACUGACCCAAGAGACUCUGAGUUACCACUUCAUCAAGCAAGAAAUUAGCAUGUAGAUCAGACUGUAUCACCGGACACAUCACAAAAGCUGGUAAUUCUGGAGAAACUUUUAAAUGCUGUUUUUUAUUGGGUCUCUUGGGGGAAUAUUUCAUAAAAUCAUUAAGGAAC